CCCUUAGAUAUCCUAGGCUGCACGCGAGCUACAAUGGUAUAUAUAAAAGGUUGCUGCUCUGAGAAGACUGGCAAUACCCUGAUAUAUAUCGUAUUUGGAAUAGAUUUUUGUAAUUAUCAAUCUUGAACGAGGAAUUCCUAGUAAAAAUAUUUCAUCAUAAUGUUUUGAUUGUGUCCCUGCCCUUUGUACACACCGCCCGUCGCUCCUACCGAUUGAAUAUUCCGGUGAGAAGAUAGGAGAAAAAUCUUUUGAUUUUUUGAAUAUUUUUGAACCUUGAUAUUUAGAGGAAGGAGAANUCGUAACA
This 304-nucleotide ribosomal RNA is filed under the name uncultured eukaryote. RNAcentral's name for it is "partial 18S ribosomal RNA". It matches the Rfam family "Eukaryotic small subunit ribosomal RNA", at positions 1470 to 1796 of the family's 1831-position model. The record is from RNAcentral.